This 301-nucleotide ribosomal RNA is filed under the name uncultured bacterium. RNAcentral's name for it is "partial 16S ribosomal RNA". It matches the Rfam family "Bacterial small subunit ribosomal RNA", at positions 509 to 807 of the family's 1533-position model. The record is from RNAcentral.
CAGCCGCCGCGGUAAUACGGAGGGUGCAAGCGUUAAUCGGAAUUACUGGGCGUAAAGCGUGCGUAGGCGGUUCGUUAAGUCUGUUGUGAAAGCCCCGGGCUCAACCUGGGAAUGGCAAUGGAUACUGGCGAGCUAGAGUGUGUCAGAGGAUGGUGGAAUUCCCGGUGUAGCGGUGAAAUGCGUAGAGAUCGGGAGGAACAUCAGUGGCGAAGGCGGCCAUCUGGGACAACACUGACGCUGAGGCACGAAAGCGUGUGGAGCAAACAGGAUUAGAUACCCGGGUAGUCCCUGUCUCUUAUAC